AGCUAUCGUCUUUGGAUGGGUCCGCGUCCCAUUAGCUUGUUGGUAGGGUCAUGGCCUACCAAGGCGACGAUGGGUAGCUGGUCUGAGAGGAUGAUCAGCCACACUGGGACUGGAACACGGCCCAGACUCCUACGGGAGGCAGCAGUGGGGAAUAUUGGGCAAUGGGCGCAAGCCUGACCCAGCAACGCCGCGUGAGGGAAGAAGGUCUUCGGAUCGUAAACCUCAGUCAGGAGGGAAGAAAUGGGUUGUCCUGAACAGGGAUGGCCUUUGACGGUACCUCCAGAGGAAGCACCGGCCAACUCCGUGCCAGCAGCCGCGGUAAUACGGAGGGUGCAAGCGUUAUUCGGAAUCACUGGGCGUAAAGCGCACGUAGGCGGCUUUGCAAGUCAGGUGUGAAAGCCCUCGGCUCAACCGAGGAAUUGCACUUGAAACUGUAGAGCUCGAGUUCGGGAGAGGGUGGCGGAAUUCCAGGUGUAGGAGUGAAAUCCGUAGAUAUCUGGAGGAACACCAGAGGCGAAGGCGGUCACCUGGACCGAAACUGACGCUUAUGUGCGAAAGCGUGGGAAGCAAACAGGGUUAGAUACCCUGGUAGUCCACGCCGUAAACCGAUGGAUGCUAGAUCCUGGGUGUGUAAGACAUUCGCUGUCGGAGUUAACGCGUUAAGCAUCCCGCCUGGGGAGUAACGGUCGCAAGGCUGAAACUCAAAGAAAUCGACGGGGGCCCGCACAAGCGGUGGAGUAUGUGGUUUAAUUCGAUGCAACGCGAAGAACCUUACCUGGGCUUGACAUCCCGGGAACCUCCUGGAAACAGGGGCGUGCCCUUCGGGGAACCCGGUGACAGGUGCUGCAUGGCUGUCGUCAGCUCGUGCCGUGAGGUGUUGGGUUAAGUCCCGCAACAAGCGCAACCCUUGUCCUUAGUUGCCAUCAGGUAAAGCUGGGCCCUCUAGGGAGACUGCCGAGGUGAACUCGGAGCAAGGUGGGGACGACGUCAAGUCAUCAUGGCCCUUACGCCCAGGGCUACACACGUACUACAAUGGUGGGUACAAAGGGAAGCCAAGCCGCGAGGUGGAGCCAAUCCCGAAAAGCCUACCCCAGUUCAGAUCGCAGUCUGCAACUCGACUGCGUGAAGGCGGAAUCGCUAGUAAUCGCGGAUCAGCAUGCCGCGCUGAAUACGUUCCGGGGCAUGUACACACCGCCCGUACACCACGAA
RNAcentral lists this ribosomal RNA (1209 nucleotides) under uncultured organism. RNAcentral describes it as "bacterial SSU rRNA". It matches the Rfam family "Bacterial small subunit ribosomal RNA", at positions 210 to 1408 of the family's 1533-position model. The record is from RNAcentral.